UUUUUCCUGUUUUAUAAUACUCUGCUCCCCCCAUCUCUCUCUCUUCCACGACGUGUGAGUUUAGCACUUAGCUCUUCUUCUUCUCUACGCCCAAAAAAAAAAUAGAGCUUCUAUGCAGACAAUUUCUUUGUAAUCUGCUAUACCCAUUUUCUCUGUUAAAGGAGCAGUAAGAAGUGAAAUUGGAGCUACACAGAAGCUAUUGGGAGGUCUUGUUAAGUGUUUGAUCCAAUGACGGUUGAUGCACCACCUGACUACUCACAUAGUUCAAGAACUAGUAGAUCUGGUUUUAGCUCCAGUAAUGGGAAUGCGACCCCCUCACAUAGCUAUUCCGCCAUGUCAAAUGAUGAUGACUACGAUAGCGAUGGUUCAAAUUUUGCACCUCCCACUCCAAUGACACUUUCAAUGGCAAUGCCAGCCGAACUGGCUAGUGCUAUACCUUUGAUUGAUAGGUUCCAGGUAGAGGGGUUUCUGAGGUCAAUGCAUAAGCAAAUUCAAUCAGCUGGGAAGCGUGGAUUUUUCUCUAAAAGAUCUGUGGGUCCUCAAGUUCGGGAAAAGUUCACGUUUGAAGACAUGCUUUGUUUUCAAAAGGAUCCUAUUCCUACCUCAUUGCUCAGGAUAAACAGUGAUCUGGUAAGCCGGGCCAUAAAAUUGUUCCAAGUGAUUUUGAAGUAUACAGGAGUGGAUGCAUCUGAUAAAGUAACCCCUAUGAGCUUAGACGAAAGGAUUGAGCUUGUUGAGAAACUGUUUAAGCACACUCUAAAGCGUUCAGAACUUCGUGAUGAACUCUAUGUACAGAUUUCAAAGCAAACACGCAAUACACCUGACAAGCAAUUCUUGAUUAAAGCAUGGGAGCUAAUGUAUUUAUGUGCAUCUUCCAUGCCUCCAAGCAAGGAGAUUGCUGGAUAUUUGUCGGAGCAUGUUCAUCAUGUGGCUCAUGGGGUGAAUAUUGAUAGCGAAGUUCAAGGGUUUGCUCUGAACACGUUAAAUGCAUUGAAGCGUUCUGUGAAGGCUGGAUCUAGGCAAACAAUGCCUGGUCGUGAGGAGAUUGAAGCACUUUUGAGUGGUAGGAAGCUAACUACGAUAGUGUUCUUCUUGGACGAAACUUUCGAAGAAAUCACAUACGACAUGUCAACAACUGUUGCCGAUGCAGUUGAGGAACUUGCGGGGAUUAUAAAACUCACCACAUAUUCCAGUUUCAGCCUUUUUGAGUGCCGUAAAGUUGUCAGUGGCUCUAAAUCAACUGAUCCCGGAAAUGAGGAAUACAUUGGGUUAGAUGACAACAAAUACAUCGGGGAUCUUUUAGCUGAAUUUAAGGCUGCCAAAGACCGAAGUAAAGGAGAUAUCUUACAUUGCAAGUUGACAUUUAAGAAGAAGUUGUUUCGGGAGUCAGACGAAUCUAUUGAAGAGCAAAUGUUUGUGCAGUUAUCGUAUGUUCAGUUGCAACAUGAUUAUAUGCUGGGUAAUUAUCCUGUUGGGAGGGAUGAUGCUGCACAUCUUUCUGCUUUGCAAAUUUUGGUUGAGAUAGGUUUCCUCGGCAGUCCUGAAUCAUGCACUGACUGGACAUCACUCCUUGAAAGGUUCUUACCUAGGCAAAUUGCAAUUACUCGAGCAAAGCGGGAUUGGGAGCAAGAUAUCCUUUCUCGUUAUCGUCUGAUGGAACAUUUAUCAAAAGAUGAUGCAAGACAACAAUUUCUUCGAAUUCUAAGAAUUCUUCCAUAUGGAAAUUCGGUAUUCUUUAGUGUUCGGAAGAUUGAUGAUCCCAUUGGAUUACUUCCAGGUCGUAUCACUUUAGGCAUCAAUAAGCGUGGGGUUCAUUUCUUCCGUCCGGUUCCAAAAGAAUAUUUGCAUUCUGCUGAAUUAAGAGACAUAAUGCAAUUCGGUAGCAGCAAUACUGCAGUUUUCUUUAAGAUGAGAGUUGCAGGGGUCCUACAUAUAUUCCAGUUUGAAACUAAGCAGGGAGAAGAGAUUUGUGUUGCCCUUCAAACACAUAUAAAUGAUGUAAUGCUGCGUCGAUACUCAAAGGCACGCUCUGCUGCCAACGGACCUGUCAAUGGAGAUAUCACCCAAAAGCCAAAAUCUCCUAGCAUGAGUGUUUAUGAGAAGCGUGCUCAGGAAUUGUCUAAAGCCGUUGAAGAAUCUCAAAGAAAUGCUGAUCAAUUAUCUGAUGAGUUGCAUGAAAAGCAAAAACAAGAAGUUGAAAUGCAAGAGGAACUAGAAAGGCUGAAAGACUCAUUGAGAUCUGAAAUGCAAAAUGUUGAAGAUGUUAAGUGUGAUCGUGAUAAACUAAGAUCACUAUGUGAAGAAAAAGAUUCAGCUCUACAGGCAGCUCUUAUGGAUAAGAGAAGCAUUGAGGCGAGACUGGUGAAUCUUAGUCAAGGGCGAUCUACGGUAGAGAAUAAUGCUAGGAAGGAUUUACAAGUACACAAUACUCAGCAGGCUGUUACUAAAUUACAAGAGGAGUUGAAAUCCGUUACCGGGGAGCUUCAUGCAGCUGAAGAAACUGCAAAAAGAUUGGCCAAUGAAAAACAAUUAUUGGAGCAAAGAAUAACAAGGCUUGACAAGAAGAAAUCUGACGAGAUGGAAAUUCUAGAGAGAAACUUUGAACAAGAACGGCGCACCCUCAGACAACGGGUGGCUGAACUUGAAAGAAAACUGGAACAAGUGACACAAGAAGUUGCUGUUGCAGAGUCUACUCUAGCAGUUAGAAAUUCAGAGCUAGAUACUUUGCAAACUAGUUUAAGAGAGCUAGAGGAACUAAGGGAAAUGAAGGAGGACAUUGACAGGAAAAAUGCUCAAACUGCUGCUAUUUUGAAGAGACAAGGGGCUCAGCUGCUAGAAUUUGAAACACUAUAUAAGGAAGAGCAAGUCUUACGGAAGCGUUAUUUCAAUACAAUCGAAGAUAUGAAAGGCAAGGUUAGAGUAUUUUGCCGGUUGCGCCCUCUUAGUGCCAAAGAAGUUUCUGAAGGGGAAAAGAAUGUUGUUGUAAGUUAUGACGAGUACACAAUCGAACAUCCUUGGAAAGACGAUAAAAUAAAGCAACAUUUGUAUGAUCGUGUUUUUGAUGGUCGUGCUUCUCAGGAGGAUGUUUUUGAAGAUACAAAGUACCUGGUGCAAUCAGCUGUGGAUGGAUUUAAUGUCUGCAUAUUUGCAUAUGGUCAAACUGGUUCAGGAAAGACUUUCACUAUUUAUGGGUCGGAGGACAACCCUGGGCUCACCCCAAGAGCAACUGCAGAAGUUUUCAAAAUCUUAAAGCGUGACAGUAAAAAAUAUUCAUUCUCGUUGAAAGCGUACAUGGUUGAGUUGUAUCAGGAUACAUUAGUAGAUCUUUUAUUGCCAAAGAAUGCAAAGCGUUUGAAGCUAGAAAUUAAAAAAGAUUCGAAGGGAAUGGUAUCUAUAGAGAAUGUAACGGUUCUACCCAUCUCGACCUACGAAGAAUUGAGAAACAUUACAUUGAGAGGUGCUGAACAACGUCAUACAUCAGGGACUCAGAUGAAUGAAGAAAGUUCAAGAUCUCAUUUGAUUCUUUCUGUUGUUAUUGAAACUACGAACUUGCAAACUCAGUCAAUUGCUCGAGGAAAGUUGAGUUUUGUGGAUCUUGCUGGCUCAGAAAGAGUUAAGAAAUCAGGCUCUGCUGGAAAUCAAUUAAAAGAAGCGCAAAGCAUUAACAAGUCGCUUUCAGCACUUGGUGAUGUGAUUAGUGCUCUAUCUUCAGAUAAUCAGCACAUUCCUUACAGGAAUCAUAAGUUGACAAUGCUGAUGAGUGACUCAUUAGGUGGAAAUGCAAAGACUCUCAUGUUCGUGAACGUCUCCCCAGCUGAGUCAAAUGUAGAUGAAAGCCAUAAUUCUCUCACGUAUGCUUCAAGAGUCCGAUCCAUUGUGAAUGAUCCAAGCAAAAAUGUUUCAUCAAAAGAAGUGGCUCGUUUAAAGAAGCUAGUUGCUUGCUGGAAAGAACAAGCGGGUAAGAGAGGUGAUCUGGAAGAGCUCGAAGAAAUACAAGAUGAACGGCCAACAAGAGAGAAGACAGAUGGCCGCCAUUCUCUAUGAGGGUAUUUGUUUGUGUCAAUGCAAAUUCAGUAUUUUCUCUUCUAGUCGAUGAUGGUUGCUUUGGUGAGCUAUUCUGCCACUUAUAUCCGUGAAUGUACAAACCCGUCGAAGUUCUUCUACCCGUAUCAUUGAUGUUGGUAUUGGAAUACUUGUUAUCAACACUUGGCUGGUGAGCCACUUCCAGAGGAACCAAAAAUAUUUGGUUGAAAAAAUUAACAUCAGAGUUGUGUAUAGUAAAAAAAAAGAAGUCGUCUGUGCUUGUAAUUGGAAACAUUGACGGCAGAGGCCUAGAGCUUUUUAUGAAGUUGCAUGAAAGAAAUAUUGUGACUGAAGAUAUACAUGACAAGAAAGACUCUUCGAACAAACUUUAGGUGUUGUUGGGUAAUGAAUGCACCGUUAGUUAUUUUUUUUGUAUGCAAACCUUGCAAAAUCAAUCUGAAGCUUUUCCUUACGGAAGUAGUUCCCAUACAGAAGGUGCCA
Papaver somniferum (opium poppy) is the source of this 4524-nucleotide RNA transcript. It is a transcript of the gene named kinesin-like protein KIN-14I, with no coding region annotated. Lineage: Eukaryota; Viridiplantae; Streptophyta; Magnoliopsida; Ranunculales; Papaveraceae. The record is from RefSeq and is a predicted model, not a curated record. The transcript is spliced from 25 exons.